RNA transcript from Raphanus sativus (radish), 1472 nucleotides. RefSeq lists it as uncharacterized. Lineage: Eukaryota; Viridiplantae; Streptophyta; Magnoliopsida; Brassicales; Brassicaceae. The record is from RefSeq and is a predicted model, not a curated record. The transcript has 3 exons.
GCAAAGUUUACCAAAAAAAAUGUUCCCAUUUAGCAUUGGUUUUCCCAUCUAAAAAAUAUAUCAAAGCUCAAGCAUUGAAAGAAAUAGAGUAAAGAAAGAACAAUCAUUUCAAAAGCAAAUCAUUUGUCACUUUCUCAUCCUUCCUCUCACCUAUCAUUCUAACCAAAAGCAAACACUACUUUCCUUUUUUUCCACUUUAUCACUAAACUCACCCGAACCGACGUCGUUUAAUAUCUCAGUGAGACAAAAUCUCCAACAUCGUCGACCAGUGAUCACACAGAAAAAAUGCAAGAUCCACGCAACCAGGUUCCACCUUCUCCCACCAUCUCCUCCGUUUCUUCCUCCGAUCUUGAUACAGAGUCGACAGGAUCAUUCUUCCAUGACAGAAGCAUCACACUUGGAACACUCAUGGGGUUUAGUUUCACAGCAACCAUGCCGAUGAUGCCGCCAUUCAGAGCUUCCUCUCACCGCCACGUGUCUCCCUCCAUCUCAAUCUCACGUGCCUCCAGCUCCAACGCAACAAGACGCAACCAGAGGAAACGUCCUCCUCCGAACUCGUCCGAGCGGCAUCGCCGUCGCAAGUGGUGGCGCUUCUGCCGAGACGACGACGACGACGACGCCGGGAACGGUAUGCACCGUGGCUCCGGUGAUUGUAGACGGUCAUCGCUCGGUGAGUAUCUGGAGGUGGAACGGAGGUCUGGAGACGAAGCUGUCUAUGGCUCAGCCGAGGCGGAGCUAGAGGGUGCGGUGGCGCGUUAUAGGGAACAGCAGCCGGCGGUGGGGGAAAGAGCGUUAUUGGGAGGUAUUAAUGAUGGGUCUAACUCACAACCAAAAGCUAGUUCAUGAGUGGAGGAUUGCCAUACACUUAUAUAUUGCCCAAGAACACUUAUUCCAAACGAUAGGGGCUAUUAGAUGUGUCCCACAUCGUUUAAACAUGAGGUCUUUGGGCAAUAUAUAAGUGUGUGGGCAAUUCUCCACUCUUGAGCUAGCUUUUGGGUGUGAGUUAGGCCUAUCACUAAUAUGGUAUUAGAGCUCAUGGUGAAAACCCACCAGAUGAUUUCCCAUAUAAAUAGUUGUCUACCUAUGUAGCCUAUAAAAAAGGCCCAUCUUGCUGUGGUAUGUCCGAGAUGUUGGGCUUGGGCUGUUUACGUUGAACCGUUUCCCACCCACAUUUCAAGAGGGGCUAUUAGAUGUGUUCCACAUCGUUUAAAUAUGAGGUCUUUGGACAAUAUAUAAGUGUUUGGGCAAUCCUCCACUCUUGAGCUAGCUUUUGGGUGUGAGUUAGGCCUAUCACUAAUAGGAGGGUUCUUCCUCCGGCUUCGGCUGAGGUUGUUAGCGAAGAAGGUACGCCGGCGGUUACGGCAUUUUGUAGAUUCCCGGUUUCCUUAACCGGCAUAUGCAGCGGAGGCGGAGGAUAAAUCUGUCGGUUGUAAUAUUUGUGUAUUUUAAUAAUAUUCAAUAUUUUUUCAGAA